RNAcentral lists this ribosomal RNA (455 nucleotides) under uncultured bacterium. Its description in RNAcentral is "bacterial SSU rRNA". It matches the Rfam family "Bacterial small subunit ribosomal RNA", at positions 339 to 791 of the family's 1533-position model. The record is from RNAcentral.
CUACGGAAGGCAGCAGUGAGGAAUAUUGGACAAUGCCCGCAAGGGUGAUCCAGCCAUGCCGCGUGCAGGAAGACGGCCCUAUGGGUUGUAAACUGCUUUUAUACAAGAGAAAACCUCCCUACGUGUAGGGAGCUGAUAGUAUUGUAAGAAUAAGCAUCGGCUAACUUCGUGCCAGCAGCCGCGGUAAGACGAAGGAUGCAAGCGUUAUCCGGAUUCAUUGGGUUUAAAGGGAGCGUAGGCGGUCUUAUAAGUCAGUGGUGAAAGCUCCUCGCUUAACGAGGAAAUUGCCAUUGAUACUGUAGGACUUGAGUACAGUUGCUGUGGGCGGAAUAUGACAUGUAGUGGUGAAAUACAUAGAUAUGUCAUAGAACACCGAUUGCGAAGGCAGCUCACAAAACUGUAACUGACGCUGAGGCUCGAAAGUGCGGGGAUCAAACAGGAUUAGAUACCCCGGU